Molecule: long non-coding RNA, 1374 nt
Filed under: Parus major (Great Tit)
Lineage: Eukaryota; Metazoa; Chordata; Aves; Passeriformes; Paridae
Description: lncRNA (ENSPMJG00000001840.1)
Source: RNAcentral
AUCCCGGGCCGGAACAUCCGGAACCUGGAGCUGGAUUCGGUCAGCGGGAAAAACCGGAGCGGUGGAACCCUGGGAACGGAGCUGGGCUGGCUCCUGAGACAGGUCUGGGAAUGAUGGGAAUGAUGGGAAUGAUGGGAAUUCUGGGAAUGGUGGGAAUUCUGGGAAUGGUGGAACCCUGGGAAUGGAGCUGGGCUGGCUCCUGAGACAGGUCUGGGAAUAACAGGAAUGAUGGGAAUCCUGGGAAUGGUGGGAAUUCUGGGAAUGAUGGGAAUGGUGGAACCCUGGGAACGGAGCUGGGCUGGCUCCUGAGACAGGUCUGGGAAUGAUGGGAAUGACGGGAAUGACGGGAAUGAUGGGAAUGACGGGAAUUCUGGGAAUGAUGGGAAUGAUGGGAAUCCUGGGAAUUCUGAGAAUUCUGGGAAUGAUGGGAAUUCUGGGAAUGAUGGGAAUGACGGGAAUGACGGGAAUGAUGGGAAUGGAGCUGGGCUGGCUCCUGAGACAGGUCUGGGAAUAACGGGAAUGAUGGGAAUUCUGGGAAUGUUUGGGAAUGCUGGGAAUGAUGGGAAUGACGGGAAUUCUGGGAAUUCUGGGAAUGAUGGGAAUGGCGGAACCCUGGGAAUGGAGCUGGGCUGGCUCCUGAGACAGGUCUGGGAAUGACGGGAAUCCUGGGAGCGUUUGGGAAUUCUGGGAAUGUUGGAAAUCCUGGGAAUUCUGGGAAUGUUUGGGAACAGAGCUAGGCUGGCUCCUGAGGCUGCUCCAGGAAUUCUGGGAAUGUUGGGAAUUCUGGAGGGAUUGGGAAUGGUGGAACCCUGGGAAUGGAGCUGGGCUGGCUCCUGAGACAGGUCUGGGAAUGAUGGGAAUGACGGGAAUUCUGGGAAUUCUGGGAAUGAUGGGAAUCCUGGGAAUGAUGGGAAUCCUGGGAAUGACGGGAAUUCUGGGAAUGAUGGGAAUGGUGGAACCCUGGGAACGGAGCUGGGCUGGCUCCUGAGACAGUCCGGCUGUUGUCUCCGACACCUCUCGCUGGCCGGGAACCACCUGAGGGACAGCGACGUCCAGGAGCUGACGGGGUCAGGGACACCUGGGGACACCUGGGGACACCUGGGGACACCAAAACCCCACUGGGGACACCUGGGGACACCUGGGGACAGCUUGGGGACACCAAAACCCCACUGGGGACACUUUGGGGACACCUUGGGGACACCUGGGGACACCUGGGGACACCUUGGGGACACCUGGGGACACCUUGGGGACAUCUGGGGACACCAAAACUCCACUGGGGACACCUUGGGGACAUCUGGGGAUGCUUCGGGACACCUGGGGACACCUUGGGGACACCAAAACCACCCUGGGGACACCUUGGGGACAUCUGGGAAC